This 255-nucleotide ribosomal RNA is filed under the name uncultured bacterium. RNAcentral describes it as "partial 16S ribosomal RNA". It matches the Rfam family "Bacterial small subunit ribosomal RNA", at positions 99 to 354 of the family's 1533-position model. The record is from RNAcentral.
CGGACGGGUGAGUAACGCGUGGAGAACCUGCCGUAUACUGGGGGAUAACACUUAGAAAUAGGUGCUAAUACCGCAUAAGCGCACAGCUUCGCAUGAAGCAGUGUGAAAAACUCCGGUGGUAUACGAUGGACCCGCGUCUGAUUAGCCAGUUGGCAGGGUAACGGCCUACCAAAGCGACGAUCAGUAGCCGGCCUGAGAGGGUGGACGGCCACAUUGGGACUGAGACACGGCCCAAACUCCUACGGGAGGCAGCAG